GAGGAAAAUGUAUGGCUGGACCGAGAUUCUAACCUGGGACCCCUGCAUCACUAGUCAGAUCUUAUGGACAUACAUGAUCCUUGGCUAUAUAAUCAAGUGUCAUAUGCAGUGUUACAAAAGAAUAUUGGAAUUAUGUCAAUAAG
Long non-coding RNA from Saccostrea echinata, 143 nucleotides. RefSeq lists it as uncharacterized. The record is from RefSeq and is a predicted model, not a curated record. Lineage: Eukaryota; Metazoa; Mollusca; Bivalvia; Ostreida; Ostreidae. The transcript has 2 exons.